This 214-nucleotide unclassified non-coding RNA is filed under the name Hevea brasiliensis (rubber tree). The record is from RNAcentral. Lineage: Eukaryota; Viridiplantae; Streptophyta; Magnoliopsida; Malpighiales; Euphorbiaceae.
GGGCAGUCAAAAUAUAACAAAGGCACGCCUUUAUUGCACUGUGCACCCAGAGAGUCAUGCACCCAGUUACCCACUCCGUAGAGGCGCUAGCCCUUGUGUUGUUUGGCCUUGAGCCUGAGGCACCGCUUUAAAAACAAUGAUUUUCAUCUAAUCAAAUUUGAUAGUAAGCCAUCUCAAAUUUUUUAUGAGGUUGGUUAUAGUUCAAGAAGUUAAA